UGAGCAAUCUGCCCUUCUCUUUGGAAUAAGCGUUGGAAACGACGUCUAAUGCCGAAUACGACCUCCUUUCGCAUGAUCGGAGGUGGAAAGCUCCGGCGGAGAAGGAUGAGCUCGCGGCCUAUCAGCUAGUUGGUGUGGGUAACGCCCACAAGGCGACGACGGGUAGCCGGCCUGGAGAGGGUGACCGGCCACACGUGGGACUGAGACACGGCCCAGACCUCCGUACGGGGAGCAGC
This 236-nucleotide ribosomal RNA is filed under the name uncultured bacterium. RNAcentral's name for it is "partial 16S ribosomal RNA". It matches the Rfam family "Bacterial small subunit ribosomal RNA", at positions 118 to 352 of the family's 1533-position model. The record is from RNAcentral.